GUGCUCGCUUCAGCAGCACAUAUACUAAAAUUGGAACAAUACAGAGAUUAGCACAGCCCCUGUGCAAGGAUGACACACAAAUUCAUGAAGCGUUCCAUUUAAAA
This 104-nucleotide small nuclear RNA is filed under the name Jaculus jaculus (lesser Egyptian jerboa). The record is from RNAcentral. Lineage: Eukaryota; Metazoa; Chordata; Mammalia; Rodentia; Dipodidae.